Molecule: long non-coding RNA, 915 nt
Organism: Nomascus leucogenys (northern white-cheeked gibbon)
Lineage: Eukaryota; Metazoa; Chordata; Mammalia; Primates; Hylobatidae
Exons: 4
Source: RefSeq, a predicted model, not a curated record
UUUUUCGUAUUUUUAGGAGAGACGGGGUUUCACCGUGUUAGCCAGGAUGGUCUCGAUUUUUUGACCUCGUGAUCCGCCUGCCUCGGCCUCCCAAAGUGCAGGGAUUACUGGCGUGAGCCGCCGCGCUAGGCCGGCCCCAAACACUUCUUAUUGGCUAAUCUGGAGCAAACCUACACAUCCAUUGGCUGAAAGCUCCGUCUAUUUGAGGGUGACUGAGAGCCUCCCUUCCUUCUGUGUUGCCUGGAAACGGACUGCCGCCUAGUAACAUCUGUUCACGUUUCCCAUUGGUCACCGUUUCCGGAAGCCCGCUCUCCAGUUUCCAGAAGCCCGGCGCACGCUGGGUCUGCAGAUGGCGUCCAGGUGCACAGUGGCAAGUGUGAUUCCGCAGUCUUGGGCUGUUCCGCCAAGCGCCCGCCGGACAUGGGACGCCGGAGGGUCAUCCGCGUGGAGUCCUCGCUUUCAGCGUCCGAGGCUGGGAAAUCGGCUAUCGCUACGGCAGGAACUGGGACUCGGGCUGCGUCCUGGCCCUUCCCUAUCAGUCCACCGGACUCGUGGGCGCGCCCAUUGGUGCUGACAUAAUUUCCUGACCUCUGACCCGUAUUGUCUCGCGAUUAAAGGUCCAGGCACUCCCACUCCUCCUGAGAGAAAUCUACAGCCACAUCCCUGAACAUCAUCAACUGUUGAAAGAACAAUUCCAAAUAUUAAUGUGCUCUGCCAGAUCGGGACACAGGAGAUACUGAAAGACCUGGUGGAUAGAUUUGGUCCUACUGGUUGGAGAAAAGAGGGAUAUCUAGGGAAAGCAUUGGCCUGUUUCACAAUCAUUACUUAUGAUGCUCAAUAGUGAUUCAGCUUCUAGAGGCCACCAACAUUCCUUGACUCAAGGCUCGCUUCAUCUAUCUAGCCAGCAAUGUGGCA